ACUCUUGGGUGUGGCACAGCCAGGAGAUGGUUGACCUGCCAGGUUAUGCUGUUAAAAAAGACUCUGCAUCUCAAUGCCAUCCUCAAUGCCAGAGUUCUCCUACCUAUCACCAGCAGCUCCCCAGCUAGAACUGGGGCUCCUUGCUUCCCCCCACCCUGCUUCCUAUUCUAUCCAGUGAUUCUCAACCCCGUGUGUUAGGUAUGUGUUGGGGGGGGGGGGUUGUGGCAUAACGCAGACAGAGAACAAGCAUUAUCUUGCUUCUUAGUGGGCUACUGGAAGGACUUAGGCGCACCACUCUUCAUGCUGCUCAGGUCACGGCGGCUGAAGCCUUCCAAAUAUGGCUCCCCGGUCCCCAUCUUUUACUUGUCUCUCUAGACUGAGCUGUGUGCUUUCUGCUCUGUGGGAAAGCCAUGCUUUCUGAAACAUACAGUUCCAUGAGAGGCCAGGUUCAUAGUAUCUACCUGGGGUAAGCUCCCUUCACAAACACUCCACAUUUCUAAAGCAAGUUUACAUACAACUCCAGGUUAAACUAUAUGGUGGCUAUCUUUACUUAUUCAGGGACAAGUUAAUGCAGCGUCAACCUGACACUUCAGACAGGAUUAGGGACAUUAUGCAGAAGAAUUUAAAGAACACAGCACACACACGUUAACCAAGUAGAUUUAAUUUCCCUGAGAUUUUUACCCCAUAAAAUGAUGUAAACUCCAUUCACCAGACCAGUGGUUGCCCAAGUUUUCUGUGUAAGCAAAUUGCCUACAUGGCUCCUCAAAGUGACCCUCAGCAGGAAUAUGCUGGGGCUGGAGCAUGAGCGUAUCCCAGGACGUGAUGGUCUAGGGACCGCACUUUGAACAAGACACCAGCCAAGAUGAGAUGUGAGCAACUGUCUACCAGAAGGCAGAGCAGAAAAAAGACCAUCACGUUAACAAAUUCCUAAAGCCACUAAUAUAGGGUAACGGGUGUUUCUCUAGAUACUGGUGGUUCUGGGUUGUCAGUAUCUCCGUGUAUCUUAUCAAUUUUAAAGUCUAAGUUUGUUUCACUUAAAAAAUAAAGUGCUACGGUUUUAAGAAUACAAACAUGGCUUCUAUAAGCAUCUGAAAGAAAAGUCCACUGACUUUGAGAGCCUAGCCUUGGUAGAAGCACUUCUGAAACCUUACUUCAUGACAUCAUACCACCAGUCCAAUCACUGUCGCUCUAGGGCCCAUCUCUGUGACAUUCAGAUGCUGUAUGAGGAUGUGGCCACCGGCACCACGCUUUGGUCCCUUAAGAGUUCUUGGCGCCUGUGUUAAAUUCAGAGUGGAAACAGCUUAAAAGUGAAUUGGUUUUUUCACAGCCAGAGAGGAAAAUAUACUUCCAACAGUCAUAAAUAUUUGAGUUUAUCCCACAUACAACAUCUAAAACUAUGAAAACACCCUUUUUUUCUGAUUUAUAAACAGUAAACAUUAGAGUUAUGAAAAAUUAGUGAAGAAUCACUCACAAUUACAUGUGUGUUAGGUUGAAAAUGGGCAUCGCACACUAAAGGAAUAGUCAAGAGGGUUAUAUGGAAUGUGGAUUCUGGGUCUGUGAUCCCAGAAGUUGGGGCUCUGGAGGGGCUAUCCAAAGCCCAAUGUGCCUGAGUCCCAAAGAGGAGAGAAGGCAGCCCCAAAAGUUGUUUGUUCCUAGUGCAGUCUGACUCCUGAGAGGAGGGAAAGGUUGUGUACCCUAAUUGCAAUCAGUAGGUUUAAGGGCCAUGUACAGUUAACUAUUAAAAACAGUGCAAUCUGCAAUUUUUACUUUAAUCAAAACUAUCAUGCAUCACUGGUCCUCUCCCCUCCAUGAGAAAUGGCUACAGGGGCUGAGAAGCCCACAGGUCUGACUUCAUUGAGGUCUGCGCAUCUGAAUGUCUGGGGGAAAGGGCUCAGCAUCUGAUGUUACCAGGGUUUAAAUAAAGCAGCUGCGUUGGUUGGUCUCUGGGAUUUGGGCAGAGAAGCUGCUUGGCUUCUGGGAUUAUGGGGAGGUACAUUCCAGACAGGUGACCAGUCCACGAUUAACACGGAGGCUUCUCUCCACAUUCCCGCUCCCACCUCUUGUAGCAUGCUGCCUUUCCCUACGAGCUAAUGUUAACUCCACUGUGCCCAGGUGGGAAGAGAAGCAAGCCUCUCAGGCAAGCUUCUGACAUGGGGCAGGGCUGUGCUCAGUCUAAACUUCCCUAUCUGCGGCUGACUUCUGAUUGGUCUGGUGGCAUGCCUGUGCAGAUGAGGACCGGGGUCAGCCAUGUGGGAAUAACUACACUUGGACCACUCACUGUCUCUUAAGUGCCCAUUUUUGACCCAGAGUUGCCUGGCUCUACACCCGCUUCUCCAAGUAGUCCCAAUCCUACUCCCGUUUGAGGCUCUUACUCCCAUCCCCACUGAAGGGAGGUCUGUUUAGAGUCAUGAUUAAAAUAGCCACCAGGGCUAAAGCAGCACCCAGGCUUGGGGGGCCACAGGGACUGAUCUCCUGGGCCACUCCAGAGAGGAGGGGGGCAAGGAUGCGGCCCACUGCAGUCACGGACUGGCCCACACCUAUGAUGGUGCCGCUGGUCUGGGCUCCGCCCACACUCAACUGGAGGUCCGUGAUGCAGGUUCUGCCAAUAGUGGUGGAGAAGGACAGAAGUGUCGAGGAGAAGACCACCAUGGCCAUGGAGCCAGUCGUGGAGUAGACUACCAGCAGCAGGCAGCAAUAAAACCCUAAGAAAUCUGCUAUGCGGUGCUAUGGGCAAGGGAAAGAUGCCCUCCCCCAUUCAUUGCCCUCGCCUCCUGCAGUGGGUAGGAGAGCUGGGCAUGCCCCUCACCUGCUGCAGCAUUCAGAAGAAUGGACCUUAUGUGGCCAGCACCAUAGAGUUGGUCCUGGUUGCGGGGGAUGCAGAAACACAUCAAGCCUUCUAGCCAGAUGACAGAGCUAGUCAGAGAAUGUUGGAGUCAUUGUACCUGCAGCUUCGUCAGCCUGCCUGCUCUUCUUUCUCUUCCUACAGUUUAGAGCAUCCCUAACUUGAAUGUUAGGGAGAUUUAACAUUUUUAAAAGAUGUGUUAUUAUUUUAUGUGUGAAUAAGAUAAAAUAAAAUAAAAUAUAGGACAUUGUAUUCCCUGGAGACGGAGCCACAGGCAGUUGUGAGCUGUGCUGUGGUGCUAAGAACUGAACCUGGGUCCUCUGAAAGAGCAGAGAGAGCUCUCAACUGCUGAGCCCUCUCUUCAGUGCAUGCCUAUUUACUGUCUUAAAAGCCUG
This 3237-nucleotide long non-coding RNA is filed under the name Mus pahari (shrew mouse). RNAcentral describes it as "lncRNA (MGP_PahariEiJ_G0003580.1)". The record is from RNAcentral. Lineage: Eukaryota; Metazoa; Chordata; Mammalia; Rodentia; Muridae.